UUUGUCAGUUGGUCGGUUGCUGCAGGGAGUGUUAACUGGUAACUACUCAGAUGCAGUCUUCUCAUAACUCACUACUAUCUAGUAUAUAGUUUACUUGUUAUGUAACCUAAGCCUGCCUUCAGGAACAACUCUGUAAACCUGAAUGAAUCUGAUAGUAAAGUAAAUGUAAAGGGACCCCUGACCAUUAGGUCCAGUUGUGACCGACUCUGGGGUUGCGGCACUCAUCUCGCUUUAUUGGCCAAGGGAGCCGGUGUACAGCUUCCGGGUCAUGUGGCCAGCAUGACUAAGCCGCUUCUGGCAAACCAGAGCAGUGCACGGAAACGCUGUUUAUCUUCCUGCCGGAGCGGUACCUAUUUAUCUACUUGCACUUUGACGUGCUUUUGAACUGCUAGGUUGGCAGGAGCAGGGACCGAGCAACAAGAGCUCACUGCGUUGCAGGGAUUCGAACCGCCGACCUUCUGAUCGGCAAGUCCUAGGCUCUGUGUUUUAACCCACAGCGCCACCCAGUUUAUGUUAAUAUGAUUCAGAUUCAUGUGUGUUUCCUUUAAGAGGAACAGAACGGAAUUAUCAACCAGGAAGGUAUAAUGAUUGAUAGGACUCAAACGAGUUAGCAACCCGCUUGUUGCUGCAUAAACUCAAACAGGGGAUCAUUUAAACUCUGCUAAAUUAUAUAAACGUUACCACACUGCGUACCCUUGAAUACCCCCUGAAAAAAGCACUGCCCCUUUUUCUGGCAGCCCCUAGACCACUUCAGCACUUUUGUGGGGGAAUUCAGGGGAGGAGAACCUGGAUAAUGUCACACCCCCCCUCCACACUUCAAAAACUGGUUCUUCCCUCUAAAAUCCUGUUUAGAGGUGCAGCAUGCACACACUCACUCACUCACUCACUCAUGGUUUUGCCAUUUGCAGAAACUAAGCUCACUAUCACGCAUAAAUUAGAAAAUAAUUAAAAUGCAUGGAUGUGAAAGGAAGGAGAAUUCCCAUACAGGUGCCUCACUUAUAAAAGGAGCUGAUUGACAUUCAGGAGGUAGUAGGGGUUGUUCUAAGGCAUGCUGGCAUAAGACACUCAGAGCUGUGAUGAAAGAAAUGUGGCCAGGAUGCUCAUGUUUUCCGAAGGGACAGAGAUAGGGCAAUGGAAAAGAGGAAGUGAGGAAGGAAAGCUUGCAGUAAUAAUCCAGCAACAUGGAUGCUCCAAGUCUGGAGAUUAAUAAUGUUCCACUCACUCAGUUUAACCUGCACAGACCUGCUUUGAUUGCCAAUGAAAGAGCCAUGGGGGAGAAGGACUACAACACUGAUGAAAUAGAUUUAUGGAUGAGCAAUACAUUAUUUUCUUUGAUUUGCUGUUGCUAAAUUUGUGGGUUUUUCAGAUCCUCGGUGCUAACCGUUUAAUAUCUUAUGCAUCAAGUUUCACAAGACUCCUGAUGGGCUUUACAAUUACUAAUCCAUCAUAACAGCACCCGGAGGAUUUGCAUUCUGCAGUUAUUUCUCAGAAAGGAGUUUGCUCACUGAGAAACCCAUACCUUGCCAUCAUGGCUCCUUAUCCCUUCCUAUACUCAGAAGUGCUGUAUAUGUUUUCAAUGUUGGUGUGGUACAAUACUGCUGAGAUUAUACCAUUUCAGACUCCAUAUUGAGGACUGGAUGAUUGAAUGCUGUCUCACAUAAAGAAUAAUAAUCUCCCUGCAUAUGGAAAGUUAGCCUGGGAGAGGCUAGCUUUUGAUGUGCAUGAUGUUGUUUACAUGAGAGCACACUUUCAGCCCAAAGGCACCUGAAAGGAUGUACAAAUAUUUAGAAAGCUGAUACAAAUUUUAAUCUGAUUUUAGCUUAUUGGGUUUUAAAAAAAAAUAAAUCUUCCAAAACUCUUAAAUUAUUGUUGUUAAUUCCUCUUAUUGAUAAUUUUAUUGCUUUAUCUUUUUUGAAACACACACAAACACAUAUAUCUCACACCAAAUGGUUUUUUACAUUUUAUUUCAAAAAAUAAAUAACUAUGCACUUUGCCAGACACUCCCAUGGGUGUGACGCCUCAGGAGCCAACAUUGUCUUCAACUACUCAGCCUGAGAAGGUAGCCCCUCUCCUCUCCUUUAACUCCAAGGAUUUCCCUUCUGAACCAACAACUGAGCAGGAAGCCACCAGGAGUGACCCCUCUAAUUUCCAACCCUUUUAUUCCUCAGAAGGGCUGGAUUUUGAGGCCUCACUCUGGCUUCAGAGCUACUUAAGCUCCCAGGCGCCACCAGACUUUUGCUAGAGCAACACUCCCAACUUGCUGUGCUAUGUUGCAUCAUAGUCUGCCCAACCUCGUAACUGCAGCCUUGGUGAGCUGUCCAUGGUCCUGAUAUCCCAUGUCAAUACCCUUGCAAUCCCCCCCCUCAAAUCCUGAGUCAGGGAGACUCAGGCUUGUCAUUUGAGCCUCAAGUCCAUGAGUUCUUCUGUAGCAUAUGACCAAGCAGCCAGGUACCAAAUUCAGAGCCAAAAGCUUACAGUAACAAGCCAUGCAAGGGAAUAAAUGCAUAUGUUUUAUUAUGGAGGUUACAAAACAAAAUAAAAACACAUUUACCACACAAAGACAGUUAAGAAGAGACUAACAGUAUAAACACGUCUCUGGGGAUUCAGCUGCAGAUCAAAACAAUCAAAGCUAGCUUGUUUCACUCUAAUCCCAAGCCAUGAACUCUUUUGCAAGCUGCGUCCAGGCAUAAAUGGUUAAAGCAUCAUUUGAUCUUUCAUUUGAAAGGGGGGCAUUAGAGCUAGAUAUAUAUAUAUAUAUAUAUAUAUAUAUAUAUAUAUAUUUAAUGCUUAUAUGAAAAGGCCUGGAUACAGAUGCACAUAUUUCCGUUCAGCCAAUCAGGGGUAGGAACACAUUUCCCUAGCACUAGAGGGUGUGCAUGCUGGGAGACUAUGCGGCUACUGGGUGGAUUUCUGCACAGUCCCUGUCACCUUGACAGAAUUUUGCAUGAGAUACUUCACACAAGGAUCACAGGAUCCUAGGAACAUAAAAAGCUGUCUAAUACACUGCUCCAUCUAGUUCAGUGUUUUUACUGACCAGCAGCAUCUCUUCAGGGUUUCAGAUUGGUGGGUGUGUACGCACACUCACCUUCCAGCCGUGCCUGGAGAUGCUGACAAUUGAACCUGAGGAAGUCGAUGCUCUAUUCGACUCCUGAAAUGGUUCAAAAACCAACGUGCUGCUUCCGAUUGGCUGCAGGAGUUUCCUGCACUCAAGGGGAAGCUGCUGAAGCCACGUCAGACAUUCGGCUUCUGAAAAACGUUUGCAAACCGGAGCACUCACUUCCGGGUUUGCAGCGUUCAGGACCUGAUUUGUUUGGUAGCCAAACCUUUCGAGUACCAAGGUACCACUGUAUAUUGUUAUUCCUACCAUGGUAGGCACUCUUUUCAACUUCAAGUCAGUGCAAUUGUUAUUGCAAAUGCAAAACUGCCUUAUGCUGUGAGUCAGUGUGGCGAAGGGGUAAGAGUGUCAGACUAGGACCUGGGGGACCAGGUUCAAUAUCAACUUGGCCAUGGAGCUCACCUCUCAGCUUAACCUACUUCACAGGGUUGUUGUGGGAAAAUCUCUCUCUCUCUCUCUCUCUCUCUCUCUCUCUCUCUCUCAACACAAUGUAUGGCACCUUGAACUCACUGAAGGGAAAGGUGGGGUAUAAACUCAGUAACUAAAUAAAUAAGCCAUGGUUCUUUGUGAGCUUAAUUUGGGCUCUUCCUCUGCCUUAGAUCCUUCCAACUGAAGACAACAGAGAUGGGACAUUGGCCUGGGUGUUAAAGCUCAUCCUCUACUAUGCAUAUCUGGUCCCCGCUCAUACUGGCUAGCAACUCAAUCUUGCCAGUCUAUUUGGAUGGCAGUUGAGGCUCAGGGAUGAUGGGGCCAUUCUUCCUGGGAAUGAAGGACUGAGUCAAGGAUUUUCCCCGCAGGAGUUGUGCCAGGGACUAAUUGCACCCGAUAACGUGGUUUUUUUUACACUGAACUUGAUGACAGGGAUGGAGGGUAUUCACCUUGCCUCCUGGCUUAAUCAGUUAAGUAGAGAGGCACUUGGAACACCUUCUCCCAGGCUCCCCAGCAGCAAUCAAAGAGUACUUAGAAGAAACCUGCACUGAUUAAGCCUUGAAGAUGAAACCUCGACACCGUUACAAGGACUGGUCUUCCUUAUGCUUGCUCAUUCUGAGCUCUCUUCAACAGCUCCAUGAAGACUUAGAAAUAAUGAAUGAGUUACAAGGCAAGCCAGAGAUUUACCUCUAGAACAGAUGGAGGAUAAGGAUAUAAAUAACUACUAGCCAUAAUGGUUAUGCUCCGCCUCCAUGUUCAGAGGCAGCAAUGCUUCUGAAUACUAGUUUCUGAAAGCCACAGAAGGGGAGAGUGCUCUUGUGCUCAGCUUCUGCUUGUGCGUUUCCCACAGGCAUCAAGAUGGCCCCCAUGAAAACAGGAUGCUGGACUAGAUGGGGCAUUGCUCUCAUGCAGCAGGCUCUUCGUAUGUUCUCAAAUGGGGGUCCAAACCUUCUGGAUGAUACUAUGGUAAAUUUCUUCAAUAAACACACCAUUGUGAUGUUUGAGAUAGCUUUGCCCUGCUCAAAACUCCAGUGACCACCAAGGCACCUACAAAUGUAAAGUCCUCAGGCCUGUAAAUUACAGUGGUACCUCGGGUUGCAUACGCUUCAGGUUACAUACGCUUCAGGUUACAGAAUCCGCUAACCCAGAAAUAGUACCUCGGGUUAAGAACUUUGCUUCAGGAUGAGAACAGAACUUGUGCUCCGGCGGUGC
RNAcentral lists this long non-coding RNA (4756 nucleotides) under Podarcis lilfordi (Lilford's wall lizard). The record is from RNAcentral. Lineage: Eukaryota; Metazoa; Chordata; Lepidosauria; Squamata; Lacertidae.